Aphidius gifuensis is the source of this 1422-nucleotide long non-coding RNA. RefSeq lists it as uncharacterized. Lineage: Eukaryota; Metazoa; Arthropoda; Insecta; Hymenoptera; Braconidae. The record is from RefSeq and is a predicted model, not a curated record. The transcript is spliced from 3 exons.
UUUUCUACCAGUUGAGUGACCUAGUUGAAAAAAAGAAAAUAAUGAAACACUUGGAAUUACGAAGCAAUAGAAAAUUUAAUGGAGAAACCACUCAACAAUGAUAAUUACCAGAUGCUAUUUGUGAUGCCCAGAGUUUAAGUUCAAAAUUUGGAUUAAUUCUGUCUGGAAAUUCAAGAAGAUAAGCAAGCAUUGAACCAAGAUGUACAAGUUCUUGUACCAUAAGUAAAGGUGGACCUUCAAAAAAUCCAAUGAGUUUAACAAUACAAGAAUGAUUAAAAUUAAUCAUAAGUUUUGCUUCACGUAAAAAUUCUUCUUUAGUUAAAUUAUUAUCAGUAUCACGUAAUGUUUUAAUUGCAACUGGUAUUGAUUCAUCAUUUGAAUUAAUAUAAAUACCCUCAUGAACAGCACCAAAUUCACCCUCACCUAAUACCUCACCAGAUAUAAGAUUAUCACCAGGUAUAAAAUCAUGUGAGUGUAAUGAUGUUUUUAAAGUAAUACUUUUUUCAAAUACAUCGGGUUUUUGUUCAUAAUUUGUUUCUAAUUUUGUUGGUGUUAUAUCCAUUUGAAAUGCAAUAUUUGGAAAUGACGAUGAUGAUGAUGGUGAUGAUGAUAUUGAUGAUGUACCCUCAAUACAUGAUUGAUUUGUUGAAUUUUUUUUUAAGUGAGAAUUUUUUUUGAGUGUAUUGCCAUUGAAUAUUGAUGCUGGCAUUUCUGGAACUGGUGGUCUUGGCUCAGGAGGUAUUGGGUGUACCAAAGGGCCAGGUAAACCAUCUGGCAUACAUCGAUAAUGCUCAAUAACAUGCUCAAGUGAAGCAAGAUAUGGACCAUUGUCAAUAAAUAAAUAAUCAUUUUUCUUUUUUAUUUGAAAAUGAUAAUAUUGAUUAUGAAAUAUUGCAGUGAGCACAUAAGUUCCAGGAAUUUCAUAAUUAUCUGUAAUAUUAAUUAAUGAUUAAUAAUCAAUCAGCCAAGAUAUUUAUAUAGCUAUAUGUACUUACGUAAUAAUUUAACACAUUCUUGAUGACCAUUUUUUAUUGCUAAAUCAAGUGGAGUAUCAUCAUCAACUGUUCUUGGAUAAACUGGAGCAUUCAUUGAUAAUAAAACAUUUAUUACUUCUUUUUGUCCUGCACUUGCAGCUUCAUGCAAUGGUACCAUUCCUAAUAUUGUACAAAAAAUCAAGGUAAGAUUUUUAUAUAUUUAUAUAUGUUGAUAAAAUUUAUAAAAAAAAUCAACCUGUUUCUGUAUGUCUUGCUUGAACAUUUGCACCACCCAAAAUUAAAAGUUUUGCAGUAUUUGGAAGAUUAUUCUGGCAUGCAUACUAGAAAAUAAAAAUUAAAAAUAAUCACAUAAAAAUAAAUUAUCAAAUAACAAAUUCACAAACAAGACAUUGUUGAAAUAAAAAAAAAUAAAAAAAGAAAAAUGAUU